Molecule: long non-coding RNA, 225 nt
Organism: Lynx canadensis (Canada lynx)
Lineage: Eukaryota; Metazoa; Chordata; Mammalia; Carnivora; Felidae
Exons: 3
Source: RefSeq, a predicted model, not a curated record
UUCUGCUUCCUCCAGGCUGCCUCCGGCCACGAUAACAACCUCUUAUUCGUUGUACAUUUACGAUCCUCAACCAUCCAGGGCACUGGUCAAGGCAGAGAGCAUCACUCCUAAACUGAAGAAACAGGGCUCAGAGUCUAAGUGCUUGUUCAGGGUCGCCCAGCGGCUGGAAAGCUGGAAUGACCAUUUCCAGUCCAAUUCUCUCAACUGUCAAGCGCAGCUCCUGGA